GACGAACGCUGGCGGCGUGCUUAACACAUGCAAGUCGAGCGAUGAAGCACCUUCGGGUGUGGAUUAGCGGCGAACGGGUGAGGAACACGUGAGGAAUCUGCCUUCCACUCUGGGAUAACUCCGGGAAACCGGGGCUAAUACCGGAUAUUUUCAACUGGCGGCAUCGCCGGUUGAAGAAAGUUUUUCGGUGGAAGAUGACCUCGCGGCCUAUCAGCUGGUUGGUGAGGUAAAGGCUCACCAAGGCGACGACGGGUAGCCGGCCUGAGGGGGUGACCGGCCACACUGGGACUGGGACACGGCCCAGACUCCUACGGGAGGCAGCAGUGGGGAAUAUUGGGCAAUGGAGGAAACUCUGACCCAGCGACGCCGCGUGAGGGAUGAAGGCCUUCGGGUUGUAAACCUGUGUCAGCAGGGAAUAAGCGAAAGUGAAGGUACCUGCAGAAGAAGCACCGGCUAACUAUGUGCCAGCAGCCGCCGUAA
RNAcentral lists this ribosomal RNA (480 nucleotides) under uncultured bacterium. RNAcentral's name for it is "partial 16S ribosomal RNA". It matches the Rfam family "Bacterial small subunit ribosomal RNA", at positions 28 to 523 of the family's 1533-position model. The record is from RNAcentral.